RNAcentral lists this long non-coding RNA (390 nucleotides) under Canis lupus familiaris (dog). RNAcentral's name for it is "lncRNA (ENSCAFG00000055927.1)". The record is from RNAcentral. Lineage: Eukaryota; Metazoa; Chordata; Mammalia; Carnivora; Canidae.
GAGAGAUUUGUUGUUGUUUUUAACUGUAAUGAUGUGCUGUUUAAGUGGAACAGGUGCUGGGCUCUAGCUGUUUGUGUUUAAACCUGCCAAAUCACACUCUUUUUGUUGGUUGGGUUGUUUAAGUAAUUUAGGAACCAGACUGUGGCCCCUGGCUUGCCAAGAGUGAGUUCAAGGUUCCAUCUCACUGCUGCAGAUCCCUGUCUCCACUGUGACAGGCAGGUAUCUGCCUGAACUGGAGCUUAUGCUGUAGACAUUUCUUUGUGGAAUUCAUCUAAAAACCUGAGUGUUUUGUUCCCCUAGUUGAAUUCUUCAGAGGAAGAGCGAAAGAGCCUUCUAGUUUUCGAACUCUUGAGGCGUGACUGUUUCAAUUUAUCUCCUGCUUACCAGGUG